RNAcentral lists this ribosomal RNA (2899 nucleotides) under Campylobacter coli. RNAcentral's name for it is "bacterial LSU rRNA". It matches the Rfam family "Bacterial large subunit ribosomal RNA". The record is from RNAcentral. Lineage: Bacteria; Pseudomonadati; Campylobacterota; Epsilonproteobacteria; Campylobacterales; Campylobacteraceae.
CUAAGAGCGAAUGGUGGAUGCCUUGACUGGUAAAGGCGAUGAAGGACGUACUAGACUGCGAUAAGCUACGGGGAGCUGUCAAGAAGCUUUGAUCCGUAGAUUUCCGAAUGGGGCAACCCAAUGUAUAGAGAUAUACAUUACCUAUAUAGGAGCGAACGAGGGGAAUUGAAACAUCUUAGUACCCUCAGGAAAAGAAAUCAAUAGAGAUUGCGUCAGUAGCGGCGAGCGAAAGCGCAAGAGGGCAAACCCAGUGCUUGCACUGGGGGUUGUAGGACUGCAAUGUGCAAGAGGUGAGUUUAGCAGAACAUUCUGGAAAGUAUAGCCAUAGAGGGUGAUAGUCCCGUAUGCGAAAAACAAACCUUAGCUAGCAGUAUCCUGAGUAGGGCGGGACACGAGAAAUCCUGUCUGAAGCUGGGUCGACCACGAUCCAACCCUAAAUACUAAUACCAGAUCGAUAGUGCACAAGUACCGUGAGGGAAAGGUGAAAAGAACUGAGGUGAUCAGAGUGAAAUAGAACCUGAAACCAUUUGCUUACAAUCAUUCAGAGCACUAUGUAGCAAUACAGUGUGAUGGACUGCCUUUUGCAUAAUGAGCCUGCGAGUUGUGGUGUCUGGCAAGGUUAAGCAAACGCGAAGCCGUAGCGAAAGCGAGUCUGAAUAGGGCGCUUAGUCAGAUGCUGCAGACCCGAAACGAAGUGAUCUAUCCAUGAGCAAGUUGAAGCUAGUGUAAGAACUAGUGGAGGACUGAACCCAUAGGCGUUGAAAAGCCCCGGGAUGACUUGUGGAUAGGGGUGAAAGGCCAAUCAAACUUCGUGAUAGCUGGUUCUCUCCGAAAUAUAUUUAGGUAUAGCGUUGUGUCGUAAUAUAAGGGGGUAGAGCACUGAAUGGGCUAGGGCAUACACCAAUGUACCAAACCCUAUCAAACUCCGAAUACCUUAUAUGUAAUCACAGCAGUCAGGCGGCGAGUGAUAAAAUCCGUCGUCAAGAGGGAAACAACCCAGACUACCAGCUAAGGUCCCUAAAUCUUACUUAAGUGGAAAACGAUGUGAAGUUACUUAAACAACCAGGAGGUUGGCUUAGAAGCAGCCAUCCUUUAAAGAAAGCGUAAUAGCUCACUGGUCUAGUGAUUUUGCGCGGAAAAUAUAACGGGGCUAAAGUAAGUACCGAAGCUGUAGACUUGACUUUGUCAAGUGGUAGGAGAGCGUUCUAUUUGCGUCGAAGGUAUACCGGUAAGGAGUGCUGGAGCGAAUAGAAGUGAGCAUGCAGGCAUGAGUAGCGAUAAUUAAUGUGAGAAUCAUUAACGCCGUAAACCCAAGGUUUCCUACGCGAUGCUCGUCAUCGUAGGGUUAGUCGGGUCCUAAGUCGAGUCCGAAAGGGGUAGACGAUGGCAAAUUGGUUAAUAUUCCAAUACCAACAUUAGUGUGCGAUGGAAGGACGCUUAGGGCUAAGGGGGCUAGCGGAUGGAAGUGCUAGUCUAAGGUCGUAGGUGCUUAUACAGGCAAAUCCGUAUAAGAAUACACCGAGAACUGAAAGGCUUUUUGAAGUCUUCGGAUGGAUAGAAGAACCCCUGAUGCCGUCGAGCCAAGAAAAGUUUCUAAGUUUAGCUAAUGUUGCCCGUACCGUAAACCGACACAGGUGGGUGGGAUGAGUAUUCUAAGGCGCGUGGAAGAACUCUCUUUAAGGAACUCUGCAAAAUAGCACCGUAUCUUCGGUAUAAGGUGUGGUUCGCUUCGUAUUAGGAUUUACUCCGAAAGCGAAGAAACUUACAACAAAGAGUCCCUCCCGACUGUUUACCAAAAACACAGCACUCUGCUAACUCGUAAGAGGAUGUAUAGGGUGUGACGCCUGCCCGGUGCUCGAAGGUUAAUUGAUGGGGUUAGCAUUAGUGAAGCUCUUGAUCGAAGCCCGAGUAAACGGCGGCCGUAACUAUAACGGUCCUAAGGUAGCGAAAUUCCUUGUCGGUUAAAUACCGACCUGCAUGAAUGGCGUAACGAGAUGGGAGCUGUCUCAAAGAGGGAUCCAGUGAAAUUGUAGUGGAGGUGAAAAUUCCUCCUACCCGCGGCAAGACGGAAAGACCCCGUGGACCUUUACUACAGCUUGACACUGCUAUUUGGAUAAGAAUGUGCAGGAUAGGUGGGAGGCUUUGAGUAUAUGACGCCAGUUGUAUAUGAGCCAUUGUUGAGAUACCACUCUUUCUUAUUUGGGUAGCUAACCAGCUUGAGUUAUCCUCAAGUGGGACAAUGUCUGGUGGGUAGUUUGACUGGGGCGGUCGCCUCCCAAAUAAUAACGGAGGCUUACAAAGGUUGGCUCAGAACGGUUGGAAAUCGUUCGUAGAGUAUAAAGGUAUAAGCCAGCUUAACUGCAAGACAUACAAGUCAAGCAGAGACGAAAGUCGGUCUUAGUGAUCCGGUGGUUCUGUGUGGAAGGGCCAUCGCUCAAAGGAUAAAAGGUACCCCGGGGAUAACAGGCUGAUCUCCCCCAAGAGCUCACAUCGACGGGGAGGUUUGGCACCUCGAUGUCGGCUCAUCGCAUCCUGGGGCUGGAGCAGGUCCCAAGGGUAUGGCUGUUCGCCAUUUAAAGCGGUACGCGAGCUGGGUUCAGAACGUCGUGAGACAGUUCGGUCCCUAUCUGCCGUGGGCGUAAGAAGAUUGAAGAGAUUUGACCCUAGUACGAGAGGACCGGGUUGAACAAACCACUGGUGUAGCUGUUGUUCUGCCAAGAGCAUCGCAGCGUAGCUAAGUUUGGAAAGGAUAAACGCUGAAAGCAUCUAAGCGUGAAGCCAACUCUAAGAUGAAUCUUCUCUAAGCUCUCUAGAAGACUACUAGUUUGAUAGGCUGGGUGUGUAAUGGAUGAAAGUCCUUUAGCUGACCAGUACUAAUAGAGCGUUUGGCUUAUCUUUA